Long non-coding RNA from Vigna radiata var. radiata (mung bean), 729 nucleotides. RefSeq lists it as uncharacterized. The record is from RefSeq and is a predicted model, not a curated record. The transcript has 2 exons. NCBI's taxonomy places the organism in Eukaryota, Viridiplantae, Streptophyta, Magnoliopsida, Fabales, Fabaceae.
AUUGGUUAUAAUUGAGUAUUGCAUCAAUCAACAUUUCAUCUAAAUGAUAAACGAAAUUGAUGGUAUUUGAUAUCUUGUAUCUUUGCAAUUUUUCCAUAUCACAUAAGUUUGAAAGGACACAUGAAUAUAUUAAUUAUUGUAUCACAAAGAGGAGUAUUCACAUGCAUAUCUAUCUAUAAAUAAGUUAGCUCUCUUGAUAUCAAGAUAUCAAGAGUAACUGCAUUGAUUAUGAUCUUGGUUUGUGUCNUUUUCUAUUCACCAUUGUUGUAGUUUGGCAUCCUUUCCCGUUAUUAUGUUUUUUUUUNUGCAAAUAUUUUUAAAAUGCGUAUAUGACCUUCUUUACAUGUCUGUCGUGUUGAGUCUUUUCAUUUGUAGUUUGAGUCUUUUCUUUUUCUUUUUAGUCUAAGUGUGGGGUGUGAUAACUCUCCAAAUUUGCUUAAUUUUCUAUGUUAAAACUCGUUUGUUAGGUAUCUUUAGUUUUUAAUUCUUUAGAAAUAGAAUAGUUUAGUGUAAAAGUUUAGAAAACAAAAUAAAAAUAGUUUCUAGAACAGGUUAUUUUCUUUAAAUUUGAUUUUAACCCUACUUUAAAUUCUUUUUUUUUUCUUUUUUUGCAGAUUGGGCUGUUUUGGGGCUGAAGUGCACAAUUGGGCUGAUUUCACGAUUGGACCUUGAUCUUUUUAGGGUGCUUGAAUCUGAAAGUUGAGGGAAGUGUCCAAAAUCAACAGCAAG